This 836-nucleotide ribosomal RNA is filed under the name uncultured bacterium. RNAcentral describes it as "bacterial SSU rRNA". It matches the Rfam family "Bacterial small subunit ribosomal RNA", at positions 536 to 1372 of the family's 1533-position model. The record is from RNAcentral.
GGGCCCUUUCCGGAUUUAUUGGGCGUAAGCGAGCGCAGGCGGUUUCUUAAGUCUGAUGUGAAAGCCUUCGGCUCAACCGAAGAAGUGCAUCGGAAACUGGGAAACUUGAGUGCAGAAGAGGACAGUGGAACUCCAUGUGUAGCGGUGAAAUGCGUAGAUAUAUGGAAGAACACCAGUGGCGAAGGCGGCUGUCUGGUCUGUAACUGACGCUGAGGCUCGAAAGCAUGGGUAGCAAACAGGAUUAGAUACCCUGGUAGUCCAUGCCGUAAACGAUGAGUGCUAGGUGUUGGAGGGUUUCCGCCCUUCAGUGCCGCAGCUAACGCAUUAAGCACUCCGCCUGGGGAGUACGACCGCAAGGUUGAAACUCAAAGGAAUUGACGGGGGCCCGCACAAGCGGUGGAGCAUGUGGUUUAAUUCGAAGCAACGCGAAGAACCUUACCAGGUCUUGACAUCCUUUGACCACUCUAGAGAUAGAGCUUUCCCUUCGGGGACAAAGUGACAGGUGGUGCAUGGUUGUCGUCAGCUCGUGUCGUGAGAUGUUGGGUUAAGUCCCGCAACGAGCGCAACCCUUAUUACUAGUUGCCAGCAUUUAGUUGGGCACUCUAGUGAGACUGCCGGUGACAAACCGGAGGAAGGUGGGGACGACGUCAAAUCAUCAUGCCCCUUAUGACCUGGGCUACACACGUGCUACAAUGGAUGGUACAACGAGUUGCGAGACCGCGAGGUUUAGCUAAUCUCUUAAAACCAUUCUCAGUUCGGAUUGUAGCUGCAACUCGCCCUACAUGAAAGCCGGAAUCGCUAGUAAUCGCGGAUCAGCAUGCCGCGGUGAAUACGUC